GUGAGUCAUCGAAUCUUUGAACGCAUAUUGCGCCCUCUGGUAUUCCGGAGGGCAUGCCUGUUCGAGCGUCAUUACAACCCUCAAGCGCUGCUUGGUGUUGGGCGACCCAGCUUGGGCGCCUCAAACGUAGUGGCGGUGCCGGCUGGCUCCAAGCGUAGUACGCAUCUCGCUUUGGAGCGCGGUCGAGCGCUGGCCAGAACGACAACUUUUUCAAAGGUUGACCUCGGAUCAGGUAGGGUUACCUGCUGAACUUAAGCAUAUCAAUAAGCGGAGGA
This 275-nucleotide unclassified non-coding RNA is filed under the name Helotiales sp. RNAcentral's name for it is "partial contains 5.8S ribosomal RNA, internal transcribed spacer 2, and large subunit ribosomal RNA". The stretch from base 1 to 71 matches the Rfam family "5.8S ribosomal RNA", at positions 84 to 154 of the family's 154-position model. The record is from RNAcentral. Lineage: Eukaryota; Fungi; Ascomycota; Leotiomycetes; Helotiales.